AAUAAGAAAAAACUUACUUUACAAACACAUCAAAACUAUAUGAAAGACAGCAGUUGAGACUCCAGUUUGAAGCAACAAAGAGGAUGGAAUAACCAAAUUUCGUGAGGUUAUCCAAGUUAGAAUUUAAGAAAAAAGGGACUCAAAUGAGUCACGGGAGCAUGCAACAGGCGCAGACACCUAAUAGAAAGUCAGUAGAUGUUUGCACUCAGCAAAGAGUAGAUCAUGUGACCACCUAAACUAGGUUCAAACUUGUACAACCAACAAUGCAAUGGAUUACAAGUUACAACAGCGCCCCUGCAUUAGUUUAUCUGAUAAAAGUAGCAGGCAAAUUUCUUCGGGAGUACUUCAGAACACAUUCAACACUUGGCUCAAAUCCUAUCAAUCCCAAAUACCAUACAAACAGCUUAUCAAAGUUGUACUUGUACGAGUUAGCACCAAUUUAGGUGUCAACUUGCAGAAGUCGAUACUCCCAGAACCCCAGCAAACUCAAUUCAAACAGUAAGAACAGACAGAAGAUAAGAAGAUAAAUCUCUCUACCUAAUGUCUUUCAACUUUGAUAACAAUGUAAUAGUCAUACAAGCAUUAUUACAUCCCCCGGACUUCUCACGCCUUACUCAAUCCUAAAAGACUUAGGUUGGCUUAGUAUAAAAGGCCAUAAAAAAGUUGAACCCAGGCUGCACUUAGAGAGUGACUUGUUGAAUGAGGUGCUCAACUGCAAAUCUAAAGGUAUGAUUUUAUAUGUAAAAGAAUAAUACCAUUCCUAGUUAAAUUGGAUAUUUAAAAUUUUGAAAUACCUUGUAGACUCUUUUCAUUAUCUUUUAGCAAUAACAAGAAGAGAUAACUUCGGUUUUCUUUACCUUCGAUAAGAAUAUUUCCCUAUUUUGGUUCGAAUGAGAUUCAAGGCCCUUAUUUCACGAGUGAUGAAAAUCCUUCGUUGUCUGCCCUUCAAAGCUAUACCAAUAUGUAACUAAGAGCAGGUAAUGCUAUUAUUUCAUUGUAAAAUUAAUUUACAUUAAUCGAUGCUGGAUUUUCCAUUGCAGUACUGUAGAAACUGACUUCAAGUAGUUGGAAUUAUUAUAAACAUUGAACAUAAACUAAAGGCAGCAUUAUUAACAUAUAAGUAUCAAGAAAGUUAUAAUUUCUCAACCUGUAUUCAAUUACAUAGAUUCUAGUAUUAUUUGAAUAAUUUGAAAAAAAAAAACCAAGUAUCUUUUAGGAAGGAGUCUAGAAUUAAUUAUUGGUUCUUAAAUUAAAAUGGAAUUUAUGCAAUCCCACUUAUCAACUUUAUUGCGCCUGAAUACAGCCAGAAAGCACCUAAAGGAGAGUAACUGACUCAAAAAGUGCCAAAAAGCGGGAAAUACAAAGUUCACAAGAGUUGGUGAAAACUACGCAGACUGCUUAAUUGUGGUUCCUCAUAUCUGUGCUUAUUUCAUUUUAUUGAUUUCCCAAAGGCCAUCUCUCGCUUCGGCAAGAAAGAGUCUCCACCAGACAAGAUGGCCAAUGUAGUACCAGGAUACAGAGGACAUGGUGAGUUCCAAUUCCUAAAAAUGAUGGCUGAGGAGAUCGAAAAGGGAUAUAUACCAGGUUCAACUUUCAGACCAGAAAGCCAGGUUUAUGUGUUCAGGAAGUUUCGUGCAGCAUUUGGUGCAAUUUAUUCAGAUCGUUUUCUGAGGUCGAGAUUCAAACACCUUAAGAAAAGGUACCAAGAGUUCUCAGAACUGCUGAAUCAGGAGGGAAUUUACUGGAACAAGAAGCAAAAUGUUGUUCAUGGCAAUGAGACAAUAUUGAGGACGAAAUACAAGGCUCGUUUCAGGAAUGGAGUGUACAUUGGAGAACAGAAUUUUGACCUCAUGUGCCAGAUCUUUGAAAGUGGAGUUAAAUUCGAGUAAUGCAAACUGCUGGUACCCAUGUGUGGUACUUUAACCUUGUCAGAAUAAUUUGAUCUUUUCCCAAUAAUUUUCAUGUUUUGUUAAAAGUUCUGGUAUUCAAACACCAUCAGUCUGAAAAUUCUAUCAACCCAAUGCUUGUAUGACACUCAGACAGUCAACAUUCAUACAAGCUAGGACUUUCUCUUUUCUUUAAUGAGAAAAUAACGGUCUACAGGUGCACAUCUCUUAUCCUUCAGUUUGCAUCUUAUUAGUUCUCCCCACAGUCAAUUUUGGUCAUAGUAAAUUAGUUAUGACAAACUUUAUAAAGGGAACGGUUAACAAUCAAUAGGCCAACAUCCAUAAACAAAUUAGACCAAACCAAUCUCUCUCUUGGGCUUAUCAUGGUGUUAUGGAUGUGUAUUAUGUGUUCUUUUUUUCCCAAUUGUGUCAUAUUAUAUAUUAAUUGAUAAUCAAGGAGUAUGUCAGGCUGCUGCAGCAGUCGCUUCAGGCUGACGAUGUAAAAGGACUAUUACAUAUUCUAGCAGUCAUUGCACCAGUAAGUCUCAAGGUCAUUCGGCCAUCGGUGGUAACACUAUUUCUGCAGCCUCCGCCAAACUUGUCGUGGCCAUGUAAAUAGCAUUUUACAGUUAUCUGGAGUAUUAUCAUUUGAAACCCACAAGUUACAAUACAAAAACUAGCACUACCUGAUUUCCGUGUUCAAGGAAAAAUCAGUCACACGAAAAUUACAACUCUACUUGCACAUAUUCAGUUAAACCUAUAAAGCAUUUAAAAACAAAAAACACCAAAAUUAUAAUAGUCUGACUACAAACAACAAUCCGCACGGCCAAAUACAUACAAAAACAAAUGAAGAAAAAAAGAAGGCAAAGUGCAGUUCAAACCAAUAUGAAAAUCAAGUAAGGUUCAAG
Non-coding RNA from Sesamum indicum (sesame), 2794 nucleotides. The record is from RefSeq and is a predicted model, not a curated record. NCBI's taxonomy places the organism in Eukaryota, Viridiplantae, Streptophyta, Magnoliopsida, Lamiales, Pedaliaceae.